Nelumbo nucifera (sacred lotus) is the source of this 736-nucleotide long non-coding RNA. RefSeq lists it as uncharacterized. NCBI's taxonomy places the organism in Eukaryota, Viridiplantae, Streptophyta, Magnoliopsida, Proteales, Nelumbonaceae. The record is from RefSeq and is a predicted model, not a curated record.
AGCUCCUUGUCUUCCUCUUUCCUCAGAUCAUCUCCAUAAACUUUCUUUCUUCACAGCUGGGAAUCAAUGGCCAGCUUUCCCUACAACUUCUUCCCCACUGAUUUACUUAACUCUGCUCAAUUUGCAGCCGGUGGAGACAAGACUCGGCAACCAGUUCUUCCCCAUGAAGCCCGCACAAGAGAAGGAAAACCCAAAGUAGAACAGCUCCGAUCAAGAGUCCGUGACAACCUUCAAUGCAACUUCUUCCCCGCUGAUUUGCUUCCUUCUGUUCAGUUUUCAACUGAUGGGGACAAGAAUGAAAAACGAGGCAUCAAGGACAGAGUACCAACGCAAGAUGAGAUUGUGCAGGCCGAUCCCCAGCUAUCCCUGCUUCAUCUAUCUACUACUUUUCCAGAUUCAGGCUGUGAUUCACCUUCUGCCUGAAUGGGUAUCUCAAGAUUUAAGAGUUUCUGCUGGUUUCACAAUCGGAGCUAGUGGAGUGAAGUGAAUCGGAUAAUUGGAGGAUUAAGCAGAGCGAUCGAGCUUAUAUCAAACAGUGAUUACCCUAACAUCGUUGCGAUCCAAUAUAUAUUAGACUGUAUUUGUUUAAGAGCAGUGCUGCAAUAGCAGAGAUGGAAAUGUAUCGGAAAACACCAGUGCUCUAAUUAAUGAUAAUUCAAAUCAAGCUCUAUAUAUUGUAUCUUGUUUAGUUUAUGCAAAUUCAACCCAGUAGUAAUUCAUGGAUUUUAAUCGUUUA